AUGGAAGCGAUUUAACUUAGUGGCGAACGGGUGAGUAACACGUGAGGAACCUGCCUUUCAGUGGGGGACAACAGUUGGAAACGACUGCUAAUACCGCAUAAGACCACAGCACCGCAUGGUGCAGUGAUCAAAGGAUUUAUUCGCUGAAAGAUGGACUCGCGUCCGAUUAGCUAGAUGGUGAGGUAACGGCCCACCAUGGCGACGAUCGGUAGCCGGACUGAGAGGUUGAUCGGCCACAUUGGGACUGAGACACGGCCCAGACUCC
RNAcentral lists this ribosomal RNA (265 nucleotides) under uncultured Eubacteriales bacterium. RNAcentral describes it as "uncultured Clostridiales bacterium partial 16S ribosomal RNA". It matches the Rfam family "Bacterial small subunit ribosomal RNA", at positions 76 to 339 of the family's 1533-position model. Lineage: Bacteria; Bacillati; Bacillota; Clostridia; Eubacteriales. The record is from RNAcentral.